GAUGAACGCUGGCGGCGUGCCUAAUACAUGCAAGUCGAGCGAACGGACGAGAAGCUUGCUUCUCUGAUGUUGGCGGCGGACGGGUGAGUAACACGUGGAUAACCUACCUAUAAGACUGGGAUAACUUCGGGAAACCGGAGCUAAUACCGGAUAAUAUUUUGAACCGCAUGGUUCAAAGGUGAAAGACGGUCUUGCUGUCACUUAUAGAUGGAUCCGCGCUGCAUUAGCUAGUUGGUAAGGUAACGGCUUACCAAGGCAACGAUGCAUAGCCGACCUGAGAGGGUGAUCGGCCACACUGGAACUGAGACACGGUCCAGACUCCUACGGGAGGCAGCAGUAGGGAAUCUUCCGCAAUGGGCGAAAGCCUGACGGAGCAACGCCGCGUGAGUGAUGAAGGUCUUCGGAUCGUAAAACUCUGUUAUUAGGGAAGAACAUAUGUGUAAGUAACUGUGCACAUCUUGACGGUACCUAAUCAGAAAGCCACGGCUAACUACGUG
This 497-nucleotide ribosomal RNA is filed under the name uncultured bacterium. RNAcentral's name for it is "partial 16S ribosomal RNA". It matches the Rfam family "Bacterial small subunit ribosomal RNA", at positions 28 to 507 of the family's 1533-position model. The record is from RNAcentral.